Molecule: ribosomal RNA, 253 nt
Filed under: uncultured bacterium
Lineage: Bacteria
Description: partial 16S ribosomal RNA
Rfam family: Bacterial small subunit ribosomal RNA
Source: RNAcentral
UACGUAGGCAGCAAGCGUUGUUCGGAAUUACUGGGCGUAAAGCGUGUGCAGGCGGGCUUGCACGUGGUGUAUGAAAGCUCCCGGCUCAACCGGGAAGGGGUAUGCCAGACUGCUAGUCUUGAGUGCGAGAGAGGAGCGUGGAAUUCCGGGUGUAGUGGUGAAAUGCGUAGAGAUCCGGAGGAACCCCAGAGGCGAAGGCGGCGCUCUGGGCCGGAACUGACGCUGAGGAGCGAAAGCGUGGGGAGCAAACAGG